Molecule: ribosomal RNA, 498 nt
Filed under: uncultured bacterium
Lineage: Bacteria
Description: partial 16S ribosomal RNA
Rfam family: Bacterial small subunit ribosomal RNA
Source: RNAcentral
AUUGAACGCUGGCGGCAUGCCUUACACAUGCAAGUCGAACGGCAGCACGGGGCAACCUGGUGGCGAGUGGCGAACGGGUGAGUAAUGCAUCGGAACGUACCUUUCAGUGGGGGAUAACGUAGCGAAAGUUACGCUAAUACCGCAUAUUCUGUGAGCAGGAAAGCAGGGGAUCGCAAGACCUUGCGCUGAUUGAGCGGCCGAUGUCAGAUUAGCUAGUUGGUGAGGUAAAGGCUCACCAAGGAGACGGUCUGUAGCGGGUCUGAGAGGAUGAUCCGCCACACUGGAACCGAGACACGGUCCAGACUCCUACGGGAGGCAGCAGUGGGGAAUUUUGGACAAUGGGGGCAACCCUGAUCCGGCCAGGCCGCGUGGGUGAAGAAGGCCUUCGGGUUGUAAAGCGCUUUCGGCCGGGAAGAAAUCGCACGGGCUAAUACCCUGUGUGGAUGACGGUACCGGAAUAAGAAGCACCGGCUAACUACGUGCCAGCCGCCGCCGUAA